GUCUACGGCCAUGCCACUCUGAACGAGCCCAAUGUCUGAUCUCAGAGCUAAGCAGGGUUGGGCCUGGUUAGUACUUGGAUAGGAGACCACCUAGGAAGACUAGGUGCUAUAGGCA
RNAcentral lists this ribosomal RNA (115 nucleotides) under Pteropus alecto (black flying fox). The record is from RNAcentral. Lineage: Eukaryota; Metazoa; Chordata; Mammalia; Chiroptera; Pteropodidae.